GAUGAACGCUGGCGGCGUGCCUAAUACAUGCAAGUCGAGCGAACAGACGAGGAGCUUGCUCCUCUGACGUUAGCGGCGGACGGGUGAGUAACACGUGGAUAACCUACCUAUAAGACUGGGAUAACUUCGGGAAACCGGAGCUAAUACCGGAUAAUAUAUUGAACCGCAUGGUUCAAUAGUGAAAGACGGUUUUGCUGUCUCUUAUAGAUGGAUCCGCGCCGCAUUAGCUAGUUGGUAAGGUAACGGCUUACCAAGGCGACGAUGCGUAGCCGACCUGAGAGGGUGAUCGGCCACACUGGAACUGAGACACGGUCCAGACUCCUACGGGAGGCAGCAGUAGGGAAUCUUCCGCAAUGGGCGAAAGCCUGACGGAGCAACGCCGCGUGAGUGAUGAAGGUCUUCGGAUCGUAAAGCUCUGUUAUUAGGGAAGAACAAAUGUGUAAGUAACUAUGCACGUCUUGACGGUACCUAAUCAGAAAGCCACGGCUAACUACGUG
This 497-nucleotide ribosomal RNA is filed under the name uncultured bacterium. RNAcentral's name for it is "partial 16S ribosomal RNA". It matches the Rfam family "Bacterial small subunit ribosomal RNA", at positions 28 to 507 of the family's 1533-position model. The record is from RNAcentral.